UAUGUCUGGGAACUGCCUGAUGGAGGGGGAUAACUACUGGAAACGGUAGCUAAUACCGCAUAACGUCGCAAGACCAAAGAGGGGGACCUUCGGGCCUCUUGCCAUCGGAUGUGCCCAGAUGGGAUUAGCUUGUUGGUGGGGUAACGGCUCACCAAGGCGACGAUCCCUAGCUGGUCUGAGAGGAUGACCAGCCACACUGGAACUGAGACACGGUCCAGACUCCUACGGGAGGCAGCAGUGGGGAAUAUUGCACAAUGGGCGCAAGCCUGAUGCAGCCAUGCCGCGUGUAUGAAGAAGGCCUUCGGGUUGUAAAGUACUUUCAGCGGGGAGGAAGGGAGUAAAGUUAAUACCUUUGCUCAUUGACGUUACCCGCAGAAGAAGCACCGGCUAACUCCGUGCCAGCAGCCGCGGUAAUACGGAGGGUGCAAGCGUUAAUCGGAAUUACUGGGCGUAAAGCGCACGCAGGCGGUUUGUUAAGUCAGAUGUGAAAUC
This 492-nucleotide ribosomal RNA is filed under the name Escherichia coli. RNAcentral's name for it is "bacterial SSU rRNA". It matches the Rfam family "Bacterial small subunit ribosomal RNA", at positions 112 to 601 of the family's 1533-position model. Lineage: Bacteria; Pseudomonadati; Pseudomonadota; Gammaproteobacteria; Enterobacterales; Enterobacteriaceae. The record is from RNAcentral.